GAGAACAAGGCUCCUGAGGGCAGAAAGAAGCUGCCCUAUCUCCCUGUGAGGAAGAGGUGGGAGGUGAAGGGUGAGGGUCAAUCUUUGUCUUCAGGUCUUCAACAGAGGGAGCAGGACCCGCCCACCUGGUGAGGUAAUUUGCUUUACUCAGCACUCAUCCACUGAUUCAGAUGUUACUCUUAUCAAAAAAUACUUUCCCAGAUACAUCUAGAAUAAUGGCUGAUCAAAUAUCUGGGUACCGUGGUCCAGCCAAAUUGAUGCAUAAAAUUAUCCUCCCACUUCCCCACCCCUGGCCCCUCCAAGGCCCUCCGGGGUUCUCCGGGAGUCUGGCUCUCCAUCUCCUCCUCUUUGCCCUCCGGCUUCCAGGCUGUGCGACCCUGAGGCUCUUCCCUGCCCUGUUCUACCCAAAGGGGCCUCAGGGGCUUGAAUUCCUCCUUCUUGGACCUUUUUCUCUUUCCAGUCAGUGGAUCCCAUCACUUUGAGGGCUCCUGGAAUGACAUUUUCCCCAAGAAGCCUCUCCUGUAUAAAACUGGGGGUUGUUGGCUGUGCCCAGAGGAUGGGGGUGGCUUCCUUGCCCUCUUCACCCCCCACACCCCUGCCCCCUUCCCCCUGCAUCACUGCCGGGCUGGACUGGGGGUGGGGGUUGGGGGAAUAUAAGCCCUGGAUUGGGCGCCCUUAUCUUGCUUUAAUUUCCUCUAGAGCUCAGCGCCAUGUGAGGUUAUAGUAGUGGCCGACCUUGUUUACUCUUUCCUACCGGAGUAUAAGCUCCAGGGGGCAGGGACUUCAUCCCCAGAGCCUAGCCCAGGACCUGCACACGGAGGCACUCAGGGUGUUUGUUGAUUGAAUGAAAAACGUUCACUGAACACCUCUGUUGUGCCGCACACACUGUGCCAGGGCGUGGACGAAAGCUCAGCUGCCCAGGCCAUUGACUAUUUCUGAGCAUUUCCACUCUCACGUUGUACACCCCUCAUUUCUCUCUUCCUGGAGGGGCUCCCUACCUGAGCGCGGGAAUCAUCUUCCUUCCUCUCUCCUGGAGUCUGCCUGACUUGGUGUCCCAAGACAGGGACUGGGUCCCCUUUGAGCCCCUGGA
This 1090-nucleotide long non-coding RNA is filed under the name Homo sapiens (human). RNAcentral describes it as "HSALNT0048565". The record is from RNAcentral. Lineage: Eukaryota; Metazoa; Chordata; Mammalia; Primates; Hominidae.